Molecule: unclassified non-coding RNA, 201 nt
Filed under: Hevea brasiliensis (rubber tree)
Lineage: Eukaryota; Viridiplantae; Streptophyta; Magnoliopsida; Malpighiales; Euphorbiaceae
Source: RNAcentral
GCACAAAAUACGAAAAAUGAAUUACCCUAUCAACAUUUGAUUAAUAUCUUACAAAUUUUUAGCUCCCCAUCUAGAUUAAGAAAAAUCUCUGAUUGAUAGUCAAACUCAUCCUAAACUUUCCAGAAAGUAUAAAGUAUAAUAUGAAACCAUUUACAUAUUAAAUACUCUCAAUACAUACUUCUACCUUUGUUUCCUCUCCUU